AGCGAACGCUGGCGGCAGGCUUAACACAUGCAAGUCGAGGGGAGCGGCAGACGGGUGAGUAACGCGUGGGAACGUACCUUUUGGUUCGGAACCGCACAGGGAAACUUGUGCUAAUACCGGAUACCGAAAGAUCGGCCCGCGUCUGAUUAGCUAGUUGGUGAGGUAAUGGCUCACCAAGGCGACGAUCCGUAGAUGGUCUGAGAGGAUGAUCAGCCACAUUGGGACUGGGAAACGGCCCGAACUAGUGCGGGAGGGAGCAGUGGGUAAUAUGGGCCAAGGGGGGCAACCCUGAGGCAGCCAUGCCGCGUGAGUGAUGAAGGCCGUAGGGUUGUAAAGCUCUUUUGUGCGGGAAGCGGUACCGCAAGAAUAAGCCCCGGCUAACUUCGUGCCAGCAGCCGCGGUAAUAC
RNAcentral lists this ribosomal RNA (407 nucleotides) under uncultured bacterium. RNAcentral describes it as "partial 16S ribosomal RNA". It matches the Rfam family "Bacterial small subunit ribosomal RNA", at positions 29 to 526 of the family's 1533-position model. The record is from RNAcentral.